UGUUUUCUACUUCUCAGCGUAAGUGAGAUACUUAAAAGCUUUUUUUCUCCCUUAGUUCACU
RNAcentral lists this transfer RNA (61 nucleotides) under Aptostichus atomarius. Its description in RNAcentral is "tRNA-Val". The record is from RNAcentral. Lineage: Eukaryota; Metazoa; Arthropoda; Arachnida; Araneae; Euctenizidae.